AAUACCACCCAAUAACCAUACCAUAUGUUUGGAAGUGGAUUCAAAUAAGAUAAAAUCAUGACAUUACUGUACUAUACAUUAAUUACCCAUCAUCCAAACAAAACACUAGUGAUGCAUAAAAUAUCAUGAUUUUUGCAUUGAAAUGAAUAUUUUAUGAAAAUGGGCAUGAAGGUCUAACACUGUAAUAUUUAUGCAUGACAUUUACAAUGAUAUAAUCGGUUAGGCUAUUAUCUCUGAGGAGUUCUAUUUCUCCCCCCAUCUAGAUUAAAAAGACGUGAGAGGACCAUUCAUUGUAGAUGACGACGUCCCCUCUAAUGAGAGUGGUUAUGCGAUAUGAUUUAUAGGGUCACUAUGGUAACGUACGACCGUGACUAUAGUUUACGUGUAGGACGACUGUAGUUAGCAUAUGUGGUUAUAUAGCAUGUUAUAGUUUGGCAAAUCGUAAAUGUACUAUGGUUUGGUAAGCCAUAAAUGUGUCGUGAUUUAGCAAGUCGUAAAUGUACUAAGAUGAAAAUAACUUUGUCAUUCCACAGUGGUAGUUAAAAAUUCAUAUUACCCUCAGUAGAUAUAAGUCGAAACGGUUUCAUAUGAAGAAUAGGUAAAAGAUGGAAUAAGAAGUCAUAACAUGAUUCAUAUUUGUUUAAUUUUCUCUAUUCUAUGCAUGGUUGAUAUGAAUGUCUUGAUGUUAAUGAUUCUU
This 697-nucleotide long non-coding RNA is filed under the name Carica papaya (papaya). Its description in RNAcentral is "long non-coding RNA (CPAP_LNC003633)". Lineage: Eukaryota; Viridiplantae; Streptophyta; Magnoliopsida; Brassicales; Caricaceae. The record is from RNAcentral.